This 77-nucleotide transfer RNA is filed under the name marine sediment metagenome. RNAcentral describes it as "tRNA-Met". It matches the Rfam family "tRNA". From Rfam's summary of the family: Transfer RNA (tRNA) molecules are approximately 80 nucleotides in length. Their secondary structure includes four short double-helical elements and three loops (D, anti-codon, and T loops). The record is from RNAcentral.
AGCGGGGUGGAGCAGUCGGGUAGCUCGUCGGGCUCAUAACCCGGAGGUCGUCGGUUCGAAUCCGACCCCCGCAACCA